GUUAACGUAACUGCGCGUACGACCGUCGAAUGGCAAAGAUAUUCAAGCUGAGAAUCGUUUUCAGAUGUUACAAACAGCUGUGUUGACUUUCAAGGAGAAACCAUUCGACAUGAUCUUACGUUUGAGCCGGGACCUUCGGUUUGCAGUUUCUGCACCUGCUAUAAUUCGAGGCUGAAGUGGUGCCAGUCGAUCGUAUGCAACCCGCCCGUAGUCAAUUACUUGAGGUUGGAACUGAAAGAAAGAGAAAGAUGGAGGAGGUCUUGCCUUUGAAUGCUGGACACUUCUAAAGCCCACAGUUCGCUGAAAUUGCCAGAGAAUUCAAUUAAAUGGCAAAUUAAACCAUUGAACUGAAUCUGUUUCCAAUCGUGAGCUUGGAGGUUCUACCCUUUGAAUUUUUAAACCAGUCACCCUUCUUUUGUACGUAUGGUAACGAAUAUAAUUCAUAAACUAAUGAAGUGUGUAAUUCAAUUGAAAGCUCUUUUCACUGAAUCCAGUUUAGACUAAGAAAAAUGAUAUAAUAACGAAAUUAUCAAUUUACAAUUUAUAGAGCGUAUACUUUAUUCGAAAGUGAAGUUUAUUACUGCAAAUAUUAGUUGGCUAUUUAUAGCCUGUUUGAAAAGGUGAUUUAAUUUCGAUUGAUUUUCGAUAAGUUUUUGUUGGUUUACUCAGGUUAAUUAAUCUCCAAUAAAAUAGAAAUACCAAUCCGGUAGUAUAAUUGCUUUCUUGCUUAUUACCUUUUUACUAAUUAGCGAUGCACGAUUCCAGACCAGUAAAUAUUUUUCCAUCGGGAGAAGUCAGGUCGAGAGAUGCAAGAUUUAUACGCUCGUUCUGUCAGUUAUCCCAGUGUCUGUUACGCGAUAGAAAAUGAACGAACUGAAUAAUAAAUGCAUUAUCGGCAUGAAGAUUGCUUGAUGUAGGCCACCGCUUUUUUUUCUAUCCUUCCGAUACCAUUUUUCUUUUUUUUUCUUCUUUUUUUUCUUUUUUUUUUUCUUUUUUUUUUUCUUUUUUUUUUUUUUUUUUUUUUUUUU
Molecule: long non-coding RNA, 1028 nt
Organism: Bombus huntii
Lineage: Eukaryota; Metazoa; Arthropoda; Insecta; Hymenoptera; Apidae
Exons: 2
Source: RefSeq, a predicted model, not a curated record